RNAcentral lists this transfer RNA (85 nucleotides) under Thermoanaerobacterium sp. RBIITD. RNAcentral's name for it is "tRNA_Tyr_GTA". It matches the Rfam family "tRNA". Rfam says of the family: Transfer RNA (tRNA) molecules are approximately 80 nucleotides in length. The record is from RNAcentral. Lineage: Bacteria; Bacillati; Bacillota; Clostridia; Thermoanaerobacterales; Thermoanaerobacteraceae.
GGAGGGAUACCCAAGUGGCUAAAGGGGGCAGACUGUAAAUCUGUUGGCUCGGCCUUCGAUGGUUCGAAUCCAUCUCCCUCCACCA